CUCUAAAAGUACGGCCUGUAAAGGUAGGGCCCAUAAAGGUACGGCCUCUAAAAGUACGGCCUGUAAAGGUAGGGCCCAUAAAGGUACGGCCCGUAAAGGUACGGCCUCUAAAGGUACGGCCCAUAAAGGUACGGCCUGUAAAGGUACGGCCUCUAAAGGUACGGCCCAUAAAGGUACGGCCUGUAAAGGUAGGGCCCAUAAAGGUACGGCCCAUAAAGGUACGGCCUGUAAAGGUAGGGCCCAUAAAGGUACGGCCCGUAAAGGUACGGCCUGUAAAGGUAUGGCCCAUAAAGGUAGGGCCCAUAAAGGUACGGCCUCUAAAGGUACGGCCCAGCCAACUUAAUCCCAACGUUCCCUUAAAUGCUGUGAUGCAGGGAGGGGGAUGCGGUGCUUUGCAUUGCAUCAAUGUAUGAAAGGAAGUGAACAAAACACAAGCAAAGCCUGCGGCGUCCAAUCGUCCAACACCCUGGAGACUCAGAGACAUUCAACCAACCGCCUCCGUCUGUCAUGAGACCCGGACAUACCGUCGCGCACUCACAGACACACCCCUGAGCCGGCUAUGUAAUAAUCCAACUCCUCCGACUCGUUAUAUCAGCACCUCCU
This is a long non-coding RNA of Gasterosteus aculeatus aculeatus (three-spined stickleback), 603 nucleotides long. The record is from Ensembl. Lineage: Eukaryota; Metazoa; Chordata; Actinopteri; Perciformes; Gasterosteidae.